CAGGUGGAGCGCUUAGAAGUGAGAAUGCCGGUAUGAGUAGCGAAAGAUGGGUGAGAAUCCCAUCCACCGAAUGCCUAAGGUUUCCUGAGGAAGGCUCGUCCGCUCAGGGUUAGUCGGGACCUAAGCCGAGGCUGAAAAGCGUAGGCGAUGGACAACAGGUUGAUAUUCCUGUACCACCUCUUUACCGUUUGAGCAAUGGGGGGACGCAGGAGGAUAGGGUAAGCGCGCUGCUGGAUUAGCGCGUCCAAGCAGUUAGGCCGGUAACGAGGCAAAUCCCGUUACCACAUAGGCUGAGCUGUGACGGCGAGGGAAAUUUAGUACCGAAGUUCCUGAUUCCACACUGCCAAGAAAAGCCUCUAGCGAGGGAAAAGGUGCCCGUACCGCAAACCGACACAGGUAGGCGAGGAGAGAAUCCUAAGGUGAGCGAGAGAACUCUCGUUAAGGAACUCGGCAAAAUGACCCCGUAACUUCGGGAGAAGGGGUGCUCAUUAGGGUGAAUAGCCCUGAUGAGCCGCAGUGAAUAGGCCCAGGCGACUGUUUAGCAAAAACACAGGUCUCUGCGAAGCCGCAAGGCGAAGUAUAGGGGCUGACGCCUGCCCGGUGCUGGAAGGUUAAGAGGAGAGGUUAGCGCAAGCGAAGCUUUGAAUCGAAGCCCCAGUAAACGGCGGCCGUAACUAUAACGGUCCUAAGGUAGCGAAAUUCCUUGUCGGGUAAGUUCCGACCCGCACGAAAGGCGUAACGAUCUGGGCACUGUCUCAACGAGAGACUCGGUGAAAUUAUAGUACCUGUGAAGAUGCAGGUUACCCGCGACAGGACGGAAAGACCCCGUGGAGCUUUACUGUAGCCUGAUAUUGAAUUUUGGUACAGCUUGUACAGGAUAGGUAGGAGCCUGAGAAGCCGGAGCGCUAGCUUCGGUGGAGGCGUCGGUGGGAUACUACCCUGGCUGUAUUGAAAUUCUAACCCGCGCCCCUUAUCGGGGCGGGAGACAGUGUCAGGUGGGCAGUUUGACUGGGGCGGUCGCCUCCUAAAAAGUAACGGAGGCGCCCAAAGGUUCCCUCAGAAUGGUUGGAAAUCAUUCGCAGAGUGUAAAGGCACAAGGGAGCUUGACUGCGAGACCUACAAGUCGAGCAGGGACGAAAGUCGGGCUUAGUGAUCCGGUGGUUCCGCAUGGAAGGGCCAUCGCUCAACGGAUAAAAGCUACCCCGGGGAUAACAGGCUUAUCUCCCCCAAGAGUCCACAUCGACGGGGAGGUUUGGCACCUCGAUGUCGGCUCAUCGCAUCCUGGGGCUGUAGUCGGUCCCAAGGGUUGGGCUGUUCGCCCAUUAAAGCGGUACGCGAGCUGGGUUCAGAACGU
This 1354-nucleotide ribosomal RNA is filed under the name Cytobacillus oceanisediminis. RNAcentral describes it as "Bacillus oceanisediminis partial 23S ribosomal RNA". It matches the Rfam family "Bacterial large subunit ribosomal RNA", at positions 1270 to 2619 of the family's 2925-position model. The record is from RNAcentral. Lineage: Bacteria; Bacillati; Bacillota; Bacilli; Caryophanales; Bacillaceae.